CUGGCGGCACGCCUAACACAUGCAAGUCGAACGAAGUAGCAAUACUUAGUGGCAGACGGGUGAGUAACAUGUAGGUAUCUACCCUUUGGCCUGGAAUAACACGAGGAAACUUGUGCUAAUACCGGAUAAGUCUUUACGGAGAAAGCUUUAUGCACCAUUGGAUGAGCCUGCACUUGAUUAGUUUGUUGGUGGGGUAAUGGCCUACCAAGACUGUGAUCAAUAGCUGAUUUGAGAGGAUGAUCAGCCACAUUGGGACUGAGACACGGCCCAAACUCCUACGGGAGGCAGCAGUGGGGAAUCUUGCACAAUGGAGGAAACUCUGAUGCAGCGAUGCCGCGUGAGUGAAGAAGGCCCUUGGGUUGUAAAGCUCUUUCGUCGGGGAAGAAAAUGACUGUACCCGAAUAAGAAGGUCCGGCUAACUUCGUGCCAGCAGCCGCGGUAAUACGAAGGGACCUAGCGUAGUUCGGAAUUACUGGGCUUAAAGAGUUCGUAGGUGGUUGAAAAAGUUGGUGGUGAAAUCCCAGAGCUUAACUCUGGAACUGCCAUCAAAACUUUUCAGCUAGAGUAUGAUAGAGGAAAGCAGAAUUUCUAGUGUAGAGGUGAAAUUCGUAGAUAUUAGAAAGAAUACCAAUUGCGAAGGCAGCUUUCUGGAUCAUUACUGACGCUGAGGAACGAAAGCAUGGGUAGCGAAGAGGAUUAGAUACCCUCGUAGUCCAUGCCGUAAACGAUGUGUGUUAGACGUUGGAAAUUUAUUUUCAGUGUCGCAGCGAAAGCGAUAAACACACCGCCUGGGGAGUACGACCGCAAGGUUAAAACUCAAAUGAAUUGACGGGGACCCGCACAAGUAGUGGAGCAUGUGGUUUAAUUCGAAGAUACGCGCAGAACCUUACCAACACUUGACAUGUUCGUCGCGACUUUAAGAGAUUAAAGUUUUCGGUUCGGCCGGACGAAACACAGGUGCUGCAUGGCUGUCGUCAGCUCGUGUCGUGAGAUGUUGGGUUAAGUCCCGCAACGAGCGCAACCCUCACUUUUAGUUGCCAUCAUUUAGUUGGGCACUCUGAAAGAACUGCCAGUGAUAAGCUGGAGGAAGGUGGGGAUGACGUCAAGUCCUCAUGGCCCUUACGUGUUGGGCUACACACGUGCUACAAUGGUAUCUACAACAGGAAGCAAGACGGCGACGUUAAGCAAAUCCUUAAAAGAUACCUCAGUUCGGAUUGCACUCUGCAACUCGAGUGCAUGAAGCUGGAAUUACUAGUAAUCGUGGAUCAGCGUGCCACGGUGAAUGCGUUCCCGGGUCUUGUACACACCGCCCGUCACACCAUGGGAGUUGGUUCUACCUUAAGGCAAGGUUUAAAACCCUUGACCACGGUAUAGUCAGCGACUGGGGUGAAGUCGUAACAAGGUAGCCGUAGGGGAACCUGCGGCUG
RNAcentral lists this ribosomal RNA (1427 nucleotides) under marine metagenome. Its description in RNAcentral is "bacterial SSU rRNA". It matches the Rfam family "Bacterial small subunit ribosomal RNA". The record is from RNAcentral.